GUGCGUGUCUAAAACUGGAGUGGAACGCAGCCCCAGUCUGCAUGAGACAUCACAGCGAUGUGACGUAAUGACGUAAAGAUGAACGGCUGCAUUCUCGAACUUCCUGCGGAAACCCACCAGUACCGCUCUUAUUAGAAAACAUUAUUACAAGCUUACCGUUGUGAAUCGGGCUAAGAGUGAUUUCUGUCUUCCAGUCGGAAAGUCGGAGCAAAGUCCGAGCAACGUCACAAAAUCCGACGUCAUCGUGUGAUACCGACAAGAUCUGGAGUGCUGAUUGACUCCAAUACGGGCUGGUCGAACAUGCUGACGUCAACAGUUUUGAGCAGUUAUCUGCAUUUAUUCAUGACAAAAAGCACAUUUAAUCCAAUCACUGCGCUGUAGUAUGCAUAAGAUUAUAACUGCGGUAUUAUGCAUGAGGAAGUAUCACUUCUCUUGCCUCUGUCUCUGUUGUUGACAUUCAGAGACAUGGGUCGUAGGUGCUCGUUUCCUCAGUGCUACAACACAAAAAUGCGUUUUCCUGUGACGCGACCAGAGCUGAAGUUUGGGUGCAUGUGGUUUGUUUUGCUGUGAUCUACCAGCACAAAUGAAAAUGUUCGUGUGAGAUAGCAUUACAGCGGAGAAUUCAAAUGUCAAAAAAGACCCUUUCAUGACCCUUUAAUUUGUUCCCUUAUUUUAGUUAUAUAGUGGCCAUGAUUUAGAGACGUAAAAAAAGGGAGCAGACAUGUCAUGAGCCCUGGACAUCUCUCUGUAACAAGCAAGACUCUUACGU
Long non-coding RNA from Megalobrama amblycephala (Wuchang bream), 769 nucleotides. RefSeq lists it as uncharacterized. The record is from RefSeq and is a predicted model, not a curated record. NCBI's taxonomy places the organism in Eukaryota, Metazoa, Chordata, Actinopteri, Cypriniformes, Xenocyprididae. The transcript has 3 exons.